UGGGGAAUAUUGCACAAUGGGCGCAAGCCUGAUGCAGCAACGCCGCGUGGGUGAUGACGGUCUUCGGAUUGUAAAGCUCUGUCUUUGGGGACGCGGUACCCAAGGAGGAAGCCACGGCUAACUACGUGCCAGCAGCCGCGGUAAUACGUAGGUGGCAAGCGUUGUCCGGAUUUACUGGGCGUAGAGGGAGCGUAGGCGGAUUUUUAAGUGGGAUGUGAAAUACCCGGGCUCAACCUGGGUGCUGCAUUCCAAACUGGAAAUCUAGAGUGCAGGAGGGGAGAGUGGAAUUCCUAGUGUAGCGGUGAAAUGCGUAGAGAUUAGGAAGAACACCAGUGGCGAAGGCGACUCUCUGGACUGUAACUGACGCUGAGGCUCGAAAGCGUGGGGAGCAAACAGGAUUAGAUACCCAGUAGU
This 414-nucleotide ribosomal RNA is filed under the name uncultured bacterium. RNAcentral's name for it is "bacterial SSU rRNA". It matches the Rfam family "Bacterial small subunit ribosomal RNA", at positions 355 to 794 of the family's 1533-position model. The record is from RNAcentral.